Camelus dromedarius (Arabian camel) is the source of this 1063-nucleotide long non-coding RNA. RefSeq lists it as uncharacterized. NCBI's taxonomy places the organism in Eukaryota, Metazoa, Chordata, Mammalia, Artiodactyla, Camelidae. The transcript is spliced from 3 exons. The record is from RefSeq and is a predicted model, not a curated record.
GAAGACAGAAUAUUAUCAAGUAUUAACAGUUAUUUUCCAAUUCUGUAUUAUAAAAUUAUUUCUGAUAAUGGAAAAUUCUCUAUUUCUUUCAAUUAAUUAAAACAUUGAAAGUCUACAGUGUAUAAAAGAAAGCACUGGAGUUCUGGAGAGGUGAGGCAGAAUACGAAGGUAAACAGGAAUCAUUAUUCCUUUUCUCAGAGGUAUGUAAUCUACAGGGGAAGCAUGCAGCACCUGAAAGGGGAGGAGAGGUUGGUGGGCCAUGCAGGGUUGAAGGAGGAGCAUAGGAACAUGGGUCUGGGAAAGUUUGGCUAGCUUUACAGUGCUCAAUUGAAAUACUACUUUGCAAUAUUUUCUCAACACCAGGGUUCAAGUUUGUUAGUCCUACUGAGACAUCAGGUCAGAAGAAAAGAACAAAAGUGAGUAGGCAUUCAUGGCUUUGCAUUCUCAGAAAGUCAUCCUGCUGGUUCAACUGUGUAUGAUUGAGCAUAUUGUCAUUGAUGAAGAAUUUUUAUUUAUUUUUGAUCAAAGACUUCACCAUGUUUUCCUGAACUUUUCAAUCUCCUGUUUGCAGAGUUUUAAUGUGAGCUCUCCUCGGGCCUGGGAGAAAUUCUGAGAGUGACCCCUGAGAAUGAGCUCAGUGGUGAGAAGUCCAAGGACAGGAUGAGGUCGACAUUGCAAGUGUUUUUGGAAUAAGAAUCAACACACUUAAAGACUGGGAUUUGGAAGUGAGAAGGAGUACAUGGAAGUGAUUCAGGAAGACAAGGAAAUGAGACAGAAGUGGCAACAUUUCUCAAAGUUCUAUGCAUUUGUUCCUUUGGAUUCAAGUGAAACAUCUGGAGUCAAUUCUUAACCCAAUGUUGGUUUGUUCUCACCAACCUCUUUGCCAUGCUAUUGGAAAAUAUAUUACAUUUCUGUAUGUUAUAUGCCCACAAAUACAAUUAAAUGUAUACUGCCUUAUGAUUUUUAAACAAGAUAAGAAAGGAUAAGAAAUAGGCAAUUAUACUCCUUUAUAAUUGCAUAAUUACCUUUAUCAGUGUUCUUUGUUUUGUGUGUGUGUGUUUAU